AUUGAACGCUGGCGGCAUGCCUUACACAUGCAAGUCGAACGGCAGCACGGGAGCAAUCCUGGUGGCGAGUGGCGAACGGGUGAGUAAUAUAUCGGAACGUGCCCGGUCGUGGGGAUAACGUAGCGAAAGCUACGCUAAUACCGCAUACGAUCUACGGAUGAAAGCGGGGGAGUCGCAAGACCUCGCGCGAUUGGAGCGGCCGAUAUCAGAUUAGGUAGUUGGUGAGGUAAAGGCUCACCAAGCCGACGAUCUGUAGCUGGUCUGAGAGGACGACCAGCCACACUGGGACUGAGACACGGCCCAGACUCCUACGGGAGGCAGCAGUGGGGAAUUUUGGACAAUGGGCGCAAGCCUGAUCCCAGCAAUGCCGCGUGCAGGAUGAAGGCCUUGGUUGUAACUAGCUUUUGUUACGG
This 413-nucleotide ribosomal RNA is filed under the name uncultured bacterium. RNAcentral's name for it is "bacterial SSU rRNA". It matches the Rfam family "Bacterial small subunit ribosomal RNA", at positions 30 to 444 of the family's 1533-position model. The record is from RNAcentral.